Molecule: ribosomal RNA, 251 nt
Filed under: uncultured bacterium
Lineage: Bacteria
Description: partial 16S ribosomal RNA
Rfam family: Bacterial small subunit ribosomal RNA
Source: RNAcentral
UUGAACGCUGGCGGUAUGCCUUACACAUGCAAGUCGAACGGUAGAGGGCAACCCUUGAGAGUGGCGAACGGGUGAGUAAUAUAUCGGAACGUGCCCAGUCGUGGGGGAUAACGCAGCGAAAGCUGCGCUAAUACCGCAUACGAUCUAUGGAUGAAAGCGGGGGAUCGCAAGACCUCGCGCGAUUGGAGCGGCCGAUAUCAGGUUAGGUAGUUGGUGGGGUAAAAGCCCACCAAGCCGACGAUCUGUAGCUG